This 223-nucleotide ribosomal RNA is filed under the name uncultured bacterium. Its description in RNAcentral is "partial 16S ribosomal RNA". It matches the Rfam family "Bacterial small subunit ribosomal RNA", at positions 328 to 539 of the family's 1533-position model. The record is from RNAcentral.
ACGCUCGACACCUACGGGAGACAGCAGUAGGGAAUCUUCCACAAUGGACGCAAGUCUGAUGGAGCAACGCCGCGUGAGUGAAGAAGGUCUUCGGAUCGUAAAACUCUGUUGUUAGAGAAGAACACGAGUGAGAGUAACUGUUCAUUCGAUGACGGUAUCUAACCAGCAAGUCACGGCUAACUACGUGCUAGCAGCCGCGGUAAUCUGAGCGGGCUGGCAAGGC